RNAcentral lists this ribosomal RNA (253 nucleotides) under uncultured bacterium. RNAcentral describes it as "partial 16S ribosomal RNA". It matches the Rfam family "Bacterial small subunit ribosomal RNA", at positions 524 to 776 of the family's 1533-position model. The record is from RNAcentral.
UACGUAGGGGGCUAGCGUUGUCCGGAUUUAUUGGGCGUAAAGAGCGUGUAGGCGGCCAGGUAGGUCUGCUGUGAAAACUCGAGGCUCAACCUCGAGACGUCGGUUGAAACCAUCUGGCUAGAGUCCGGAAGAGGAGAGUGGAAUUCCUGGUGUAGCGGUGAAAUGCGCAGAUAUCAGGAAGAACACCCGUGGCGAAGGCGGCUAUCUGGACGGUUUCUGACACUAAGACUCGAAAGCGUGGGGAGCAAACAGG